CCUGGAUUUCGCUUACUUCCUCCUUACCCAUGCAGACUGUAAGAAAGAUAAAAUAUUUGAAGAUCUGAUGAUAAUCAGAGAUCCAUUGUGUGCAGGAGUCAAUCCUUCAAGCUCUUUCUCAUAUUCCCAGAAUAUUUAUCUCAGUGAAGAUUUCAGAGUACUUACUAAAUCAUCAGAAUGAAUGAAGAACCCAUGGUAUGUAUCAAAGCGUUCAAUUAACGAUAAUAAAUAUUUAACUGCAAAGUGUCAAAUUUGGGUCAUUCCAUGCUAAAUCAAAUCAAAAUUUGACCCGGCCUCUUUAGAAUUUGAUGAAAUUUAGUACACUCACUCUACUCAUUGAGCUGAUUCCACAAAUUUGAUUUUUAAUGUUUUUGUCUCUUGGUUGAACUUUUAUUGAGCUUUAAAGUUCGAGUAAAAUAAUGGAGGUUAUCCCCUUCAAUUGCUUGUAUUUUCGGAGCCGUUUAUUUGAUCUGAACCAUUCUGGUGCCGAUUAAAAGCUCUUGAAACGGGUUUUCCACGUAUGUACACCAAAUUUGAAUACACC
This 544-nucleotide long non-coding RNA is filed under the name Bemisia tabaci. RNAcentral describes it as "lncRNA ENSSSA3NGG014526". Lineage: Eukaryota; Metazoa; Arthropoda; Insecta; Hemiptera; Aleyrodidae. The record is from RNAcentral.